UACUUAGUGGCGCACGGGUGCGUAACGCGUGGGAAUCUACCCUUUGGUUCGGAAUAACAGUUGGAAACGACUGCUAAUACCGGAUGAUGACGUAAGUCCAAAGAUUUAUCGCCGAGGGAUGAGCCCGCGUAGGAUUAGGUAGUUGGUGUGGUAAAGGCGCACCAAGCCGACGAUCCUUAGCUGGUCUGAGAGGAUGAUCAGCCACACUGGGACUGAGACACGGCCCAGACUCCUACGGGAGGCAGCAGUGGGGAAUAUUGGACAAUGGGCGCAAGCCUGAUCCAGCAAUGCCGCGUGAGUGAUGAAGGCCUUAGGGUUGUAAAGCUCUUUUACCCGGGAUGAUAAUGACAGUACCGGGAGAAUAAGCUCCGGCUAACUCCGUGCCAGCAGCCGCGGUAAUACGGAGGGAGCUAGCGUUAUUCGGAAUUACUGGGCGUAAAGCGCACGUAGGCGGCUUUGUAAGUAAGAGGUGAAAGCCCAGAGCUCAACUCUGGAAUUGCCUUUUAGACUGCAUCGCUUGAAUCAUGGAGAGGUCAGUGGAAUUCCGAGUGUAGAGGUGAAAUUCGUAGAUAUUCG
RNAcentral lists this ribosomal RNA (576 nucleotides) under Sphingomonas sp. Air149. Its description in RNAcentral is "bacterial SSU rRNA". It matches the Rfam family "Bacterial small subunit ribosomal RNA", at positions 89 to 700 of the family's 1533-position model. Lineage: Bacteria; Pseudomonadati; Pseudomonadota; Alphaproteobacteria; Sphingomonadales; Sphingomonadaceae. The record is from RNAcentral.